This 364-nucleotide unclassified non-coding RNA is filed under the name Hevea brasiliensis (rubber tree). The record is from RNAcentral. Lineage: Eukaryota; Viridiplantae; Streptophyta; Magnoliopsida; Malpighiales; Euphorbiaceae.
GGAAGUAACAGAACAUCAUAUGGAGGAACGAAGUCGUGGGCUGAAGGUCGAUCGUGCGAACAUUGAGUGUAUGAUGUCAAACGUGGAGUCAUGGAGUUGUGGGAACGUGGAAACAUGCUGGAGACGUGAAAUCAUGGAGGAAACAUGUUAGGUGCCAAAGAAAGUCGUAUCGUGACGGCUAAUGAGCACCCCCGUUGGUGUGGUCAUUUGCGUUCGCCUGCCCGUUUGGCGACAGGGAAUUUUAGUUGAUAAGCGCAGUCGUCCCAGCUGACCGCGGCGCAAGAGUGACGUAGACCUCCUCGAUCCGGCAGGCCGCACCGUUGCUCUUCACUUUCAUUUUCGCGUCCGCCACCUGCUUCGCCUU